UACGUAGGGGGCAAGCGUUGUCCGGAAUCAUUGGGCGUAAAGCGCACGUAGGCGGCCUUGUAAGUCGGACGUGAAAUCCCACGGCUCAACCGUGGAAGUGCAUCCGAAACUGCAAGGCUCGAGUAUGGAAGAGGGUCGCAGAAUUCCCGGUGUAGAGGUGAAAUUCGUAGAUAUCGGGAGGAAUACCAGUGGCGAAGGCGGCGACCUGGGCCAAUACUGACGCUGAGGUGCGAAAGCGUGGGGAGCAAACAGG
RNAcentral lists this ribosomal RNA (253 nucleotides) under uncultured bacterium. RNAcentral's name for it is "partial 16S ribosomal RNA". It matches the Rfam family "Bacterial small subunit ribosomal RNA", at positions 524 to 776 of the family's 1533-position model. The record is from RNAcentral.